UUAGCCACGGUUUUAGGUUCGGCAAAUUCCAUGUGGGUUAGUUACAUAGCUACAUCGUUGAUAAGGACGGCGAUCCCAAGCGCCAUAGGAAAGUUGACCUACUACAAUCAACAACGGUAAAAGACGAUUUUAAACAGAUUCCGAUUUGCGUGGAAUACUUCCAGGGGUUAACUAUCUCGGAAUACUUCAUUCGUAACAACUGCGAACCACCAAGACGAACGACAUCGCUAUACCAAAGCCUAACUAACAUGCACGAAUCCGCCAAAAAAGAAAAGAAAAGAAAUAAAAGAAAUAAAAACACAUUUCAUCUGUCGCAUAUGCAGUGACAUUCAGCAACUGGACAAAUCCUAUGCUUUUUGAACCAGUCCCUUGCAUGGUGAGCAUGGAAUCCAUGAUUGCAAUUAAUGCAGAAGACCACAAACCUUUUCAUCACAUCUUCCUGAGGUGCCUCACUUGCUUGCUUGCUCGUACUUCCGCUAGCAAUACCAGCUCUGGACAUCGGAUCUGUGGUGCCUAACCAUAAAGAACAAAUCCCGCAUCUGGGCAUAUGUCGCCCACACUUUGGGCAGAUAGUACCUGACUGGGAUGCGGUGCCGAGGGGGCUUGCUGUUAUUGAAUGAACGACUUCCAUGCCGGUCGAGGGGAAAACCGGGUAGUCAGGUUCAUCCUGCUGGGAGAGAGGACGAGUACAGUAGUUGCAUGUCAAACUGAUUUGUUGCGGUGGCGGUUUUAUGAGUCUGUGGCCAUCCCAAGUGACUGCCAACUUCCGUGAUUCAACGUCAAACCUAGCCCUAUCUAGCUGGAGUUUCCAGGCAUUCACUUGCCGUCGAUACGUCUCUCUCCAGGCUUCAAAUCGGAUACUGUUUGGUGGAUCGGUAAUGAAUCGCGGGACAGUAUGGCUCAUAGCAAGAACAGGUGUUUGAAUGUCGCCAAACUUGUCUAUGUAAGAUUGGAAUAGACCCAUUGCUCCAUGGUUAAGGCCAGUAAGGAUGACUCCUUCAACAUCCCCUUGGCGUAUUGCAUCCAUAGUCGCAUCCCCCAGGUAAGAACUUAACUCGUUGUCGGGAAGCCAGCGGAGAGCGACCUCCACUCUAUAUCUUAAAGGAAGGGUGACCUCCUUAAUCACAGAAUUCCAGUCACCUUUGCUCAUCAAAGCUAAAAUAGCCCGAGCGUAGGGGUCUGUGAGCUCCUGGGCGAUUUCCCUACAUGUCUCCUCCC
RNAcentral lists this small RNA (1218 nucleotides) under Histoplasma capsulatum. Its description in RNAcentral is "hypothetical RNA". RNAcentral also lists the same sequence under 1 other name. The record is from RNAcentral. Lineage: Eukaryota; Fungi; Ascomycota; Eurotiomycetes; Onygenales; Ajellomycetaceae.